UUUUUUUUUUUUUUUUAAAGCCAUAAAAUCAAUGUGGAAGCAAAGAGAAAACCUUAUCCAUUAUCAUUAGCACCAAAUCCCCAAGGAUUCACGUGAUCAAUUGGUCAAAGGUCUCAGCCGAGCUGAUCCCUCAUCUUCUCUUAAACUUUUUACGUAAGAGACCUAGGGACAGAGGCCAGUAACCUCAGGGUACAAGGUUACCCUUCCACAAAAAGCCCAGCUCUAUGCACCAGAUGAAAUUAGCAGGCGUAAUGAAGAACAGAGCUGGGAAGCUAUUUCAUACAUACAUUUAGGGUAUGCGCUUGAAGGUAAUUCCAAUGAGUCACAUAAAUCUGCUGCCACUCAUAAUGCACCAACCAUGUAGUUCUUUAUUUUACUUUAUUUUAUUUAUUUAUUUAUUUUUAGUCUUUUUGCCUUUUCUAGGGCUGCUCCUGCGGCACAUGGGGGUUCCCAGAAAAGGCAAAAGGACAAAAAAAAAAAAAAAAAAACCUCAUAAAAAUGUGGUAUCAAUUGCACUCCCUCCCUCUAAAUGAGGAGAUCUGAAUUUAGACUGGAAGGUAUAAGUGCAAGCACAUUCUUGCAAUCAAGAACCUGCAAAGUGAAUUACAGGCUAAUGACAAACGAACUUGAGCACACACACAGAGUUGAGGCAACAGUCAACUGUGUGGCUGUCUAAGACCAACCCAUGUAAUAUCUGUAUUUUCUGAAAUAAAGAUAAAAACAGACUUGCUCAGUCUAGACUUGAAAGCAGAAGACCCAGGAAUGUUUCCACGUGGAAUCUGAGUUAGAUGCUGAUGUACCAACGUCGCAUUGUACUGAAGCAAAUGCCCCUGCUUUGGCAGUGCAAUAAAACACUGUUAUUUCAAAAAGGAGCUUUCACGACCAUCGAAUCCAGCCCCUGCGGCCCUGAGAGAGAAGGGGACUUCCCCGAGAUCACACAUGGAAUUAAUGUGCCAGGUCAUACAGUGGCAAUAUUGACCCAGAAGGUGUCUCCAGGAAUUAAUGCCUAUUUAUUCUUGGCAAGGAAAAGGCCCUGGUACUCACUCAGAGCCCCAGAGGUCUAGCAGCAGAGCCUGACCUCCUGCAGCCAUCUGAACGUGACCCCUGCCAAUGGGAAGAGUGAGCCAUUGGGCAAGUGAGUUCCAGCAGCGACUGCAUCCCAGAACAAGUGAGGACAGAAUAGCAAUCUUUUACAGUCCCUGAAAGUGUAGGGAAAUAAUAUAGGUAUAACAUAGAUAAUAAAAUCCCUUUGUCCUUCACCUUGAGAUAGCUGGCAAGAUCAGGUACCAGGUCACUGUGUCCCCUUCUCAGCCACGGCUGGAAAGAUCUAGAGAGACAGGGUGAUGUGCUGGAGAGAACACUGGUCUCAAGGUCAGCAGUCUGUGACUUUCAUCUCAGUUUUGCCACUUUGUACACUUUGCUGGGCCUUAGUCUCCUCAUGUGUAAAACUGGUGGACUGGAUUGGACAGAUUCUGGUUUAAGCUUUUCUGCUUUGACCAAAGCUCUGUGACCUUUAAAACAUUGUUUAACCUUUCUGAAACAGAGUUUUCAUGUAUGGAGUUAGGAGACUGGACUGGCUGAUGCCACUCUUAACAUUCUAGAGCUCCUUUUAUUUCACACACACACACACACACACACACACACACACACACACACGUACCCCUCCCCAUUAAUUCUCCUUCUUCGACUCCAGGCUUCCUUACAACUGAUACUCAGUUGAGAGAUAAAAAAAUUAAAAACAUGAGCAUGGCUGUCAGCUAGAACACUUGUUUUUAUUGUGAUUUUCCAAUAAGAGCUUGAGAACUCAUCUUGCAAACCAUGAAGAAGGGAUGACACACUUGCUGGGACUGGAGUGAUUGCUGCUACAUCCCACUGCCUUCCAAAAGCACUAUCAGGGGCAUACGUGUCAUGGCAAUAAACAAUUGGAGGUUCUGGGCCAACGCACCUGAAAUAAACCCUGAGAAAAUUUAUUUCACUCAAAAAAAAAAAAAAAAAAAAAAAAAAAAGCAGCUAUCAUAUAGAAGGAAUACUAAUAGGAAUCAAAAGUAAGAAUAAGCCUUUGUUAACUCAACAAAACGGCACAGGCAGUAAAGCUAACACUUUGGGGUGACAAUGGUGAAAGAGAGCCGCACUCACUCACCUGGUGUGAAAUUAUCAGAUGAUGCACCUCACACCUACCUGAAUUUUGUUCCUCCUGAAAGUUGCUGAACCAAAAGAAACAUCAGAGUAAAAAACACCUGAACCAACUGGUCAACCUUAACAUCAGAGAAAGAAAGAGAGGAUGAGAAUGAAAACAGCAGGCAGUUACCCACCUCUUUUUUUUGUUUGUUCUUUUUUUUUUGGCCCCACCCAUGGCAGAUGGAAGUUCUUGGGGCCAGGUAUUGAAUCCGAACUGCAGGUGCAACCUGUGCCACAGCCGUGGCAAUGCGGGAUCCUUAAUCCACUGUACAAGGCUGGAGAUUGAACCCACACUGCCACAGAGACAAUGCCAAAUCCUUAACCUGUUGUGCCACAGCAGGAACUCCAGGCGUUAAAAUGCAAGUAAAAAUAUUGCUAUUCAGUACAUUGGCCCCAACCCUCCAAAGCAAGAGAAAAGAAAGAGGA
This 2604-nucleotide long non-coding RNA is filed under the name Sus scrofa (pig). Its description in RNAcentral is "lncRNA (ENSSSCG00060025860.1)". Lineage: Eukaryota; Metazoa; Chordata; Mammalia; Artiodactyla; Suidae. The record is from RNAcentral.